AUGGAAUCUCUGCGGGCCCCCACAGUCUAUCCCAUAUUCUCUUGCUGCGGUCCUGAGGACAAGGAUAAUCAGGCAGGAAAGGCCCUCGCCUGCCUCGUGACAGGCUACCUUCCAGAGCCAGUGGAUGUCAAGUGGAAUUCUGGCAAAGUGACUCAGGGGAUCACGACUUUCCCAGCUGUUCUGGGCAAAGAUGGAGACUUCACCCUCACCAGCCAGCUCACCAUCCCUGCCAGCAGCCUGGAGAGCGGUGUCUACCAGUGCGAUGUGGAGCAUAGAGCUUCAACUACUUUCCUGUCUAAGGCGUUCCCUCAGCAAACAUGUAGGGGGGGUUUGCCCGCUCCACCCCAGGUUCAUCUCCUGCCCCCAUCCUGCAAUGACAACUCUUGGGAGAAGCAGCUGGGGCUGGUUUGUCUCCUCCUGGACUUCAUCCCUGGCCAAGCCAAUGUGGAAUGGCUCAUGAAUGGGGUGAAGAAGAACCUCCCUGGCAUGGGCUUCUCCUCUGCAAAGGGCACAGGUGGCUUGCACAUGGGGCAGAGUCGAGUGAACAUCACCAGGGAGAGCUGGGAUAAUGGCGAUGUCUACACAUGCAAAGUCACCCAUCCAGCACUGGACAAAGAAGACUUGAUGCUGAAUGUGAGCAAGUGCUCAGAGAUCAGCCUGCACUGGGAGCACAAGGGUGUGAAAGUGUUCCCUUCCCAGUACACCAACGGGUCCAUCAUUAGGACUGGCCAGACAUUCUCCACUCACAGCCUCCUGCGGGUGCCCCAGCUGGAAGGGGAAAGAGCUACAGUGUCUGACUAUUCCUGUGUGGUGCAGCAUGUGGCUUUGGAUGACACCUUGAAGGUCAAUGCGUUGACAGGAGAGGGUCCCUGCAAGCCCCUGCAAGUGGAGGUUUUUCUCCGCCCCCCUUCCCUGGAGGACCUCUAUCUUGCCAAGAAUGCCACCAUCACCUGCCUGGUCAUCAACAUGGAGACAACUAGCAGUUUGGAGAUCACGUGGAACCGUACAAGUGGAGGCAGGCUGGAUGUGGUGUUGACAAAACCAGUUUUUCAAAGAAAUGGCAGCUACAGUGUUUCCAGUGCCCUGUGGGUGCAUCUGGAGGAAUGGAAGUCUGGGGAGGAAUUCACCUGCAUGGUGAAACACCAAGAUAUCCCAUCAGCCAUCGUUAAAACAGUGCACAAGAGUCAGGAAGUCUCAACCCGGGCCCCUUCUGUGUACAUUUACCCUCCUCAUGUGGAUGAGCUGGCCCUUCGGGAAUCAGCCACUGUGACCUGCUUGGCCAAAGGCUUCCGCCCCAGUGACAUCCUGGUGACAUGGACCCAGCAGGACCAGCCCAUGCCCCAGAAAGCCUUCAUCAACAUUGGCCCCUUCCAAGAAACCAAGGAGAAGGGGACAACCUACUUUAUCUACAGCAAGCUCAGUGUCCCAGCAUCACAGUGGCAGCGGGGAGACACGUUUGCCUGUGUGGUGGGCCACGAAGGUUUCCCGAUGACCUUUGUCCACAGGAGUGUGGACAAAUCCUCUGGUAAACCUACUGCUGUCAAUGUCUCUGUGAUCUUGUCUGAUACUGAUGUCAGCUGCUACUAAGAAGGCAGUGCCUUGUAGCCUGUAUGUAAAGCAGAAGG
Molecule: non-coding RNA, 1625 nt
Organism: Alligator mississippiensis (American alligator)
Lineage: Eukaryota; Metazoa; Chordata; Crocodylia; Alligatoridae
Source: the annotation of a RefSeq genome assembly